CAGACAAGGAAGAGGCCAAGUCUGGUUUAAUAAUAUCUGAAGGAGAUGUAUUCCUUAAUGGAGCUCAGUCAUGCUUAUUAACCGGUGUUGGUGAAGAAUGUGUGUUCCAUCCAAGUGAAUAUUAUCCAACAUGGACACUAGAAGCUCCAUCAGAUUCCCUGAAAGCUGUUGUCCAAAUAUGUGCAGGUUGGCAGUCUAUUCC
This 202-nucleotide unclassified non-coding RNA is filed under the name Hevea brasiliensis (rubber tree). The record is from RNAcentral. Lineage: Eukaryota; Viridiplantae; Streptophyta; Magnoliopsida; Malpighiales; Euphorbiaceae.